Molecule: ribosomal RNA, 1467 nt
Filed under: uncultured Bordetella sp.
Lineage: Bacteria; Pseudomonadati; Pseudomonadota; Betaproteobacteria; Burkholderiales; Alcaligenaceae
Description: partial 16S-23S ribosomal RNA intergenic spacer
Rfam family: Bacterial small subunit ribosomal RNA
Source: RNAcentral
UCGAUCAUGUCAGAUUGUGGGCCCAACUGGCCCGGAUGCUUUACACAUGCAAGUCGAGAACUGGCAGCACGGACUUCGGUCAUUGGCGAGUAGCGAACGGGUGAGUAAUGUAUCGGAACGUGCCUGGUAAUGAGAUAUACAUGGCAAGCUAAUGCCGCAUGCGCCCUUCCGGGAAAGCGGGGACCUUCGGGCCUCGCACUAUUAGAGCGGCCGAUAUCAGUUAAGCUGGUUGGUGGGUAACGGCUCACCAGGCGGCGAUCGUAGCCGGUUUGAAGGCGACCAGCCACACAGGACUGGGGCGGCCCCAGGCUCCUGCAGGAGAGGCAGCAGUGGAAUUUUGGACAAUGGAAACCCCUGAUCAAUGUGCAUCCACGCCAUUGAUGAUGAAGGCCCUUCGGGUUGUAAAGCGCUUUGGCAGGAAGAAACUGGCGGAUAUGCCCGUGCAACUGACGUACCUGCAGAAUAAGCACCAGCUAACUACGUGCCCGUAUGCUGAUAAUACAUCAGGAACGCAACGUUAAUCGGAAUUACUGGGCGUAAAGCGUACGCAGGCGGUUCGGAAAGAAAGAUGCUUGAAAUCCAGAGCUUAACUUUGGAACUGCAUUUUAACUACCGGGCUAGAGUGUGUCAGGAGGUGGAAUUCCGCGAUGCGAAGUGAAAUGCGUAGAUAUGGGAAGACUGCCGAUGGCAAGGCAGCCUCCUGGGAUAACGCGACAUUUCGUGCGAAAAGCGUGGGGAGCAAACAGGAUUAGAUACCCUGAGCAGUGAUCCGCCUAAACGAUGUCAACUAGCUAUUUGGGGCCUUCGGGCCUUGGCCAGCGCAACUAACGUGAGUUGAGCCUUCUGAGAAGUACGGUCAUAAAGAUUAAACUCAAAGGAAUUGACGGGGACCCCGCACAAGCAGUGGAUGAUGUGGAUUAAUUCGAUACAACGCAAAAAACCCUACCCUUGACACUGUCUGGAAUCCGAAGGAAUUUGGGAUUGCUCGCAAAACGGAACACAGGUGCUGCAUGGCAGCUGUCUCGUCAGCUCGUGUCGUGAGAUGUUGGGUUAAGUCGCAACAGGCGCAGCCUUGUCAUUAGUUGCUACGAAAGGGCACUCUAAUGAGACUACCAGUCGACAAACCCGGAGGGAAGGUGGGGAUGACGUCUCAGAUCCUCAUGGCCCAUAUGGGUAGAACUACACACGUCCAUGCAAUGGUCGGGACAGAGGUCUAACACCCAACCCGCGAGGAGGCCAAUCCCAGAAACCCGAUCUGUGGUCCCAGGAUCUGCCAGUCUGCAACUCAACUGCGUGAAGUCCGGAAUCGCUAGUAAUCGCGGAUCAGCAUAUGCCAGAUGAAUACGUUGAUUAGCCUUACCACCGCCCGUCACACCAUGAAUUGGGUUUUCUUAGAAGUGAUUAGCUAACCCGUAAGGAGGGCGAUUACGGUAGGAUUCGCGGCUGGGGUGAAGUCGUAACAAGAUG